RNAcentral lists this ribosomal RNA (409 nucleotides) under bacterium. RNAcentral describes it as "partial 16S ribosomal RNA". It matches the Rfam family "Bacterial small subunit ribosomal RNA", at positions 355 to 776 of the family's 1533-position model. The record is from RNAcentral. RNAcentral also lists the same sequence under 1 other name.
UGGGGAAUAUUGCACAAUGGGCGAAAGCCUGAUGCAGCGACGCCGCGUGAGGGAUGACGGCCUUCGGGUUGUAAACCUCUUUCAGCAGGGACGAAGCGCAAGUGACGGUACCUGCAGAAGAAGCACCGGCUAACUACGUGCCAGCAGCCGCGGUAAUACGUAGGGUGCAAGCGUUGUCCGGAAUUACUGGGCGUAAAGAGUUCGUAGGCGGUUUGUCGCGUCGUUUGUGAAAACCAGCAGCUCAACUGCUGGCUUGCAGGCGAUACGGGCAGACUUGAGUACUGCGGGGGAGACUGGAAUUCCUGGUGUAGCGGUGAAAUGCGCAGAUAUCAGGAGGAACACCGGUGGCGAAGGCGGGUCUCUGGGCAGUAACUGACGCUGAGGAACGAAAGCGUGGGUAGCGAACAGG